Molecule: ribosomal RNA, 705 nt
Filed under: uncultured archaeon
Lineage: Archaea
Description: bacterial SSU rRNA
Rfam family: Archaeal small subunit ribosomal RNA
Source: RNAcentral
CAACGGUGAAGACGCGGCGGACGGCUCAGUAACACGUAGCCAACCUGCCCUUGGGACGGGGAUAACCCCGGGAAACUGGGGACAACCCCCGAUAAGCGGGAAGGCCUGGAACGGUUUCUCGCAUAAAGGACAACGAAACCAUGCUUUCGUUGUCGCCCGAGGAUGGGGCUGCGGCCGAUCAGGUAGUUGGUGAGGUAACGGCUCACCAAGCCUAUAACCGGUACGGGCCGUGAGAGCGGGAGCCCGGAGAUGGGCACUGAGACAAGGGCCCAGGCCCUACGGGGCGCAGCAGCUACGAAAACUCUGCAAUGCGCGAAAGCGCGACAGGGCUACCCCGAGUGCCGUCCGCUGAGGAUGGCUUUUCUCCGGUGUAAUGAGCCGGAGGAAUAAGGGGAGGGCAAGCCUGGUGUCAGCCGCCGCGGUAAUACCAGCUCCCCGAGUGGUGGGGACGAUUAUUUGGCCUAAAGCGUCCGUAGCCGGUUCAGUAAGUCUCUUGUUAAAUCCAACGAUCUAAUCGUUGGACUGCAGGAGAUACUGCUGAACUAGGAGGCGGGAGAAGCCGACGGUACUCUUGGGGUAGGGGUGAAAUCCUAUAAUCCCAGGAGGACCACCAGUGGCGAAGGCGGUGGCUAGAACGCGCUCGACGGUGAGGGACGAAAGCUGGGGGAGCGAUCCGGAUUAGAUACCCGGGUAGUCCCAGCUGUA